CCUACGGGCCGCACCAGUGGGGAAUAUUGCACAAUGGGCGCAAGCCUGAUGCAGCCAUGCCGCGUGUAUGAAGAAGGCCUUCGGGUUGUAAAGUAGUUUCAGCGGGGAGGAAGGUGUUGAGGUUAAUAACCUCAGCAAUCGACGUUACCCGCAGAAGAAGCACCGGCUAACUCCGUGCCAGCAGCCGCGGUAAUACGGAGGGUGCAAGCGUUAAUCGGAAUUACUGGGCGUAAAGCGCACGCAGGCGGUUGAUUAAGUUAGAUGUGAAAUCCCCGGGCUUAACCUGGGAAUGGCAUCUAAGACUGGUCAGCUAGAGUCUUGUAGAGGGGGGUAGAAUUCCAUGUGUAGCGGUGAAAUGCGUAGAGAUGUGGAGGAAUACCGGUGGCGAAGGCAGCCCCCUGGACGAAGACUGACGCUCAGGUGCGAAAGCGUGGGGAGCAAACAGGAUUAGAUACCCCAGUAGUC
RNAcentral lists this ribosomal RNA (465 nucleotides) under uncultured bacterium. RNAcentral's name for it is "bacterial SSU rRNA". It matches the Rfam family "Bacterial small subunit ribosomal RNA", at positions 338 to 795 of the family's 1533-position model. The record is from RNAcentral.